GGCUACACACGUGCUACAAUGGCGAUGACAGAGGGACGCAAGCCGGCGACGGUGAGCCAAUCUCUAAAAGUCGUCUCAGUUCGGAUUGUUCUCUGCAACUCGAGAGCAUGAAGUCGGAAUCGCUAGUAAUCGCGUAUCAGCAAUGACGCGGUGAAUACGUUCCCGGACCUUGUACACACCGCCCGUCAAGCCAUGGAAGUUGGGUAGACCUGAAGAUGGUUGCUGUAAGGCGCUAUUUAGGGUAGAACCA
RNAcentral lists this ribosomal RNA (250 nucleotides) under Alexandrium margalefii. RNAcentral's name for it is "partial Bacterial small subunit ribosomal RNA". It matches the Rfam family "Bacterial small subunit ribosomal RNA", at positions 1212 to 1470 of the family's 1533-position model. The record is from RNAcentral. Lineage: Eukaryota; Dinophyceae; Gonyaulacales; Pyrocystaceae.